CAGGGUAUAGCUCAGUGGUAGAGUGCGUGCUUAGCAUGUAGGAGGUCCUGGGUUCAAUCCCAGAUAUCUUCA
Molecule: transfer RNA, 72 nt
Filed under: Camelus bactrianus (Bactrian camel)
Lineage: Eukaryota; Metazoa; Chordata; Mammalia; Artiodactyla; Camelidae
Also listed under: 2 other names
Rfam family: tRNA
About the family: Transfer RNA (tRNA) molecules are approximately 80 nucleotides in length. Their secondary structure includes four short double-helical elements and three loops (D, anti-codon, and T loops).
Source: Rfam by way of RNAcentral